UUUCGGAAUAACAGUUAGUAGCCUUGGUUACGAAUGUUUUUCAAUUACAAAACAUCCACAUGAAAUGUAAUAAAUUAUUAUGACUAUAAAAUAUAAUGAAUAGUGAACUGAGAAGAAUCAGAGAUGACCAAAGACCACAAAACAGCCAAACACAGAACUGCAGUCUCGAAUAUCCUUGCAGAUCGACUAAUCAACGAUCAUAAAACGAGAAUUCAAGACAUGUAAUGGGAAUCCACAACAGUAAUCUGAAGGUGAUAUGUUACGAGCAUAGGUUCUACGAGUGAUCGUUCGCACGCUCAAUAACAAGAGAACCCGAAAAAUCAGGCGUGAACCUUACAAUAAAAUGGAAAGACUUACAAGUGCCAAAUUUGCAGAUGUUUCCUGCAGAAGUCCAAAUUGAACAUUCAUGAAAUGUGAUUUAGAUUCAUUUAGACGCAGACUUAUUCUAUGAGCAUGAGCCUAUGCACAUCAGUAAAAGAACUAUUUACACGAAGACGAUCAAGCAAUUGAAAAAACGAGCUACAUCAAUACAACUUGAUGUUCGCCAGGCUGUUCUGGAACUACCCACGUAGGUUUUAAUGCCGACCAAUGAGGAUAGUACCAAUCGGACAAUAAUUUCUGCUUCGUACUUUAUAUCCAUUUAGUUGUGAAAUACUUAUCUAGCAUGAAACGAUCCGUGUUAUUUUAGUAGCAAUCUGAAUGUUCUUUUUCCCCGUAAAUAGCCAUCGAAAUUAGAUGAAUAAUAAAGUAAGGAACAUUAAUGGUCAUUGGUAUUACUGAGAAAUUGAAUUUUGAAUUUAUUUUUAUUAAAAAAUUCAGAUAAUUACAAGAUCCAGCAUUCAUUCAUUUAUUAGAAACAUAAAUUUUCGAUUCUAGAAGUCUUGCGUUGCAGCCACGUUCUCGUCACCCGAGCAUAUACUAAGGUUUUCUUCAGUUCCAUAAGAGUUGGCAAUACAUGAUCGCGUCAUGAUUUUUCUAACACUUGUAAACAAGCUUUGAAACACUUUCGCAGUUCCUCUUCUGGAACCGCGAGGCUUUCCUGAGUUAGGAUAAAACAUUUCAUCACUUUGUGCGAUUCUUUAAUAUGUUUAUGUUGCUGAACCAUUUUGCGCAAGAUUCUGGUUAAGCCUUUCCAUUGUCAAUCGAAUUCUGAUCCUUUAGGUACCUUAAAAUAAAUACAUUCGGGACAAAAGCGACAGUUUUAUGUUGGUUUUUUUUCUAGGACUUUUUUAUGAACGGCUAUCGGCAAUAGAGCAAAAUACUUCGUCAAUUUGUUUGUUUAUUUAUACUUCAAGGGUCCCUAGGUAACA
Long non-coding RNA from Malaya genurostris, 1310 nucleotides. RefSeq lists it as uncharacterized. The transcript has 3 exons. Lineage: Eukaryota; Metazoa; Arthropoda; Insecta; Diptera; Culicidae. The record is from RefSeq and is a predicted model, not a curated record.